Molecule: unclassified non-coding RNA, 211 nt
Filed under: plant metagenome
Description: partial contains small subunit ribosomal RNA, internal transcribed spacer 1, and 5.8S ribosomal RNA
Source: RNAcentral
UUUCCGUAGGUGAUCCUGCGGAAGGAUCAUUCAUAAUAAAGUGUUUUAUGGCACUUUUUAAAAAUCCAUAUCCACCUUGUGUGCAAUGUUAGAUCUCGUCAAUCUUGGCGAGAUUUUUAUACAUCAACUCAUUCUUUAACUAAUUUGUCUGAAAAAUAUUAUGAAUACUUAAUUCAAAAUACAACUUUCAACAACGGAUCUCUUGGCUCUC